RNAcentral lists this ribosomal RNA (889 nucleotides) under Vibrio penaeicida. Its description in RNAcentral is "bacterial SSU rRNA". It matches the Rfam family "Bacterial small subunit ribosomal RNA", at positions 62 to 942 of the family's 1533-position model. Lineage: Bacteria; Pseudomonadati; Pseudomonadota; Gammaproteobacteria; Vibrionales; Vibrionaceae. The record is from RNAcentral.
UCGAGCGGAAACGAGAAUAGCUUGCUAUUCGGCGUCGAGCGGCGGACGGGUGAGUAAUGCUUAGGAAUUUGCCCAGUCGAGGGGGAUAACUAUUGGAAACGAUAGCUAAUACCGCAUACGCCCUACGGGGGAAAGGAGGGGACCUUCGGGCCUUUCGCGAUUGGAUAAGCCUAAGUGAGAUUAGCUAGUUGGUGAGGUAAUGGCUCACCAAGGCGACGAUCUCUAGCUGGUCUGAGAGGAUGAUCAGCCACACUGGAACUGAGACACGGUCCAGACUCCUACGGGAGGCAGCAGUGGGGAAUAUUGCACAAUGGGCGAAAGCCUGAUGCAGCCAUGCCGCGUGUAUGAAGAAGGCCUUCGGGUUGUAAAGUACUUUCAGCAGUGAGGAAGGGUGUGUAGUUAAUAACUGCACAUCUUGACGUUAGCUGCAGAAGAAGCACCGGCUAACUCCGUGCCAGCAGCCGCGGUAAUACGGAGGGUGCGAGCGUUAAUCGGAAUUACUGGGCGUAAAGCGCAUGCAGGUGGUUUGUUAAGUCAGAUGUGAAAGCCCGGGGCUCAACCUCGGAAUAGCAUUUGAAACUGGCAUACUAGAGUACUGUAGAGGGGGGUAGAAUUUCAGGUGUAGCGGUGAAAUGCGUAGAGAUCUGAAGGAAUACCAGUGGCGAAGGCGGCCCCCUGGACAGAUACUGACACUCAGAUGCGAAAGCGUGGGGAGCAAACGGGAUUAGAUACCCCGGUAGUCCACGCUGUAAACGAUGUCUACUUGGAGGUUGUGGCCUUGAGCCGUGGCUUUCGGAGCUAACGCGUUAAGUAGACCGCCUGGGGAGUACGGUCGCAAGAUUAAAACUCAAAUGAAUUGACGGGGGCCCGCACAAGCGGUGGAGCAUGU